Molecule: ribosomal RNA, 549 nt
Filed under: uncultured bacterium
Lineage: Bacteria
Description: bacterial SSU rRNA
Rfam family: Bacterial small subunit ribosomal RNA
Source: RNAcentral
CCUACGGGAGGCAGCAGUGGGGAACAUUGCACAAUGGGCGCAAGCCUGAUGCAGCGACGCCGCGUUGGGGAUGACAGCCUUCGGGUUGUAAACUCCUUUCAACCAUGACGAAGCUUUUUGUGACGGUAGUGGUAGAAGAAGCACCGGCUAACUACGUGCCAGCAGCCGCGGUAAUACGUAGGGUGCGAGCGUUGUUCGGAAUUACUGGGCGUAAAGAGCUCGUAGGUGGUUUGUCGCGUCGUCUGUGAAAUUCCGGGGCUUAACUCCGGGCGUGCAGGCGAUACGGGCAUAACUUGAGUACUGUAGGGGAGACUGGAAUUCCUGGUGUAGCGGUGAAAUGCGCAGAUAUCAGGAGGAACACCGAUGGCGAAGGCAGGUCUCUGGACAGUUACUGACGCUGAGGAGCGAAAGCAUGGGUAGCGAACAGGAUUAGAUACCCUGGUAGUCCAUGCCGUAAACGGUGGGCGCUAGGUGUGGGGGUCUUCCACGACUUCCGUGCCGUAGCUAACGCAUUAAGCGCCCCGCCUGGGGAGUACGGCCGCAAGGCUA